UCCCUGGUUGCUCAGUUGGUAAAGAAUCUGCCUGUAAUGCCGGAGAUUGCCUGCAAUGCAGGAGACCCAGGUUUGAUCCCUGGCUUGGGAA
RNAcentral lists this transfer RNA (91 nucleotides) under Bos taurus (domestic cattle). It matches the Rfam family "tRNA". Rfam says of the family: Transfer RNA (tRNA) molecules are approximately 80 nucleotides in length. Their secondary structure includes four short double-helical elements and three loops (D, anti-codon, and T loops). Further hydrogen bonds mediate the characteristic L-shaped molecular structure. tRNAs have two regions of fundamental functional importance: the anti-codon, which is responsible for specific mRNA codon recognition, and the 3' end, to which the tRNAs corresponding amino acid is attached (by aminoacyl-tRNA synthetases). tRNAs cope with the degeneracy of the genetic code in two manners: having more than one tRNA (with a specific anti-codon) for a particular amino acid; and 'wobble' base-pairing, i.e. permitting non-standard base-pairing at the 3rd anti-codon position. The record is from Rfam by way of RNAcentral. Lineage: Eukaryota; Metazoa; Chordata; Mammalia; Artiodactyla; Bovidae. RNAcentral also lists the same sequence under 3 other names.